RNAcentral lists this transfer RNA (80 nucleotides) under Vararia minispora EC-137. Its description in RNAcentral is "tRNA-Ala". It matches the Rfam family "tRNA". Rfam says of the family: Transfer RNA (tRNA) molecules are approximately 80 nucleotides in length. Their secondary structure includes four short double-helical elements and three loops (D, anti-codon, and T loops). The record is from RNAcentral. Lineage: Eukaryota; Fungi; Basidiomycota; Agaricomycetes; Russulales; Lachnocladiaceae.
GGGCAAGUGACGCAGUGGUAGCGUGUUCGCUUUGCAUGUGUGAUUGCGAGAAGUCCUGGGUUCAAUCCCCAGCUUGUCCA